Molecule: transfer RNA, 75 nt
Filed under: Erythrobacter sp.
Lineage: Bacteria; Pseudomonadati; Pseudomonadota; Alphaproteobacteria; Sphingomonadales; Erythrobacteraceae
Also listed under: 13 other names
Description: tRNA-Thr
Rfam family: tRNA
About the family: Transfer RNA (tRNA) molecules are approximately 80 nucleotides in length. Their secondary structure includes four short double-helical elements and three loops (D, anti-codon, and T loops). Further hydrogen bonds mediate the characteristic L-shaped molecular structure. tRNAs have two regions of fundamental functional importance: the anti-codon, which is responsible for specific mRNA codon recognition, and the 3' end, to which the tRNAs corresponding amino acid is attached (by aminoacyl-tRNA synthetases). tRNAs cope with the degeneracy of the genetic code in two manners: having more than one tRNA (with a specific anti-codon) for a particular amino acid; and 'wobble' base-pairing, i.e. permitting non-standard base-pairing at the 3rd anti-codon position.
Source: RNAcentral
GCUGCUGUAGCUCAGUGGUAGAGCGCACCCUUGGUAAGGGUGAGGUCGAGAGUUCAAUUCUCUCCAGCAGCACCA